CCUACGGGGAGCUGCAGUGGGGGAUAUUGCACAAUGGGGGGAACCCUGAUGCAGCGACGCCGCGUGUGGGAAGACGGUCCUCUGGAUUGUAAACCACUGUCCCCAGGGACGAAAAUGAUGGUACCUGGGGAGGAAGCUCCGGCUAACUACGUGCCAGCAGCCGCGGUAAUACGUAGGGAGCGAGCGUUGUCCGGAAUUACUGGGUGUAAAGGGAGCGUAGGCGGGGAUGCAAGUUGGGGCUCAAAACUACCGGCUCAACUGGUAGUCGCACUCAAAACUGCAGCUCUUGAGUGAAGUAGAGGCAGGCGGAAUUCCUAGUGUAGCGGUGAAAUGCGUAGAUAUUAGGAGGAACACCAGUGGCGAAGGCGGCCUGCUGGGCUUUUACUGACGCUGAGGCUCGAAAGUGUGGGGAGCAAACAGGAUUAGAUACCCGUGUAGUC
This 440-nucleotide ribosomal RNA is filed under the name uncultured bacterium. RNAcentral's name for it is "partial 16S ribosomal RNA". It matches the Rfam family "Bacterial small subunit ribosomal RNA", at positions 338 to 795 of the family's 1533-position model. The record is from RNAcentral.